This 205-nucleotide transfer-messenger RNA is filed under the name Roseobacter sp. Its description in RNAcentral is "partial transfer-messenger RNA". It matches the Rfam family "Alphaproteobacteria transfer-messenger RNA", at positions 152 to 355 of the family's 355-position model. From Rfam's summary of the family: Bacterial tmRNA, also known as 10Sa RNA or SsrA, is named for its dual tRNA and mRNA-like properties. The record is from RNAcentral. Lineage: Bacteria; Pseudomonadati; Pseudomonadota; Alphaproteobacteria; Rhodobacterales; Roseobacteraceae.
UCGAAACAGGAUCGACGAACGUCUAAAGAUGUAGCUUUAUCUCGGCUGACUGCCACCGUUAUCGGCGUAAAAUGUACAAUUGCAAAUGACAAUCGUGCUCCAAUGGCGAUGGCCGCGUAAGCGACCGGAACUAUUGAAACUUAAGCCCUUGCGUUUAGCGACGUAAGGCGGGGUUCGCAGGUACCUGGCAACAGAAACCUGCACU